RNAcentral lists this ribosomal RNA (959 nucleotides) under Fusarium solani. RNAcentral's name for it is "eukaryotic LSU rRNA". The stretch from base 425 to 959 matches the Rfam family "Eukaryotic large subunit ribosomal RNA", at positions 1 to 547 of the family's 3401-position model. The record is from RNAcentral. Lineage: Eukaryota; Fungi; Ascomycota; Sordariomycetes; Hypocreales; Nectriaceae.
AACAGACGGCCCCGUAACACGGGCCGCCCCCGCCAGAGGACCCCCUAACUCUGUUUCUAUAAUGUUUCUUCUGAGUAAAACAAGCAAAUAAAUUAAAACUUUCAACAACGGAUCUCUUGGCUCUGGCAUCGAUGAAGAACGCAGCGAAAUGCGAUAAGUAAUGUGAAUUGCAGAAUUCAGUGAAUCAUCGAAUCUUUGAACGCACAUUGCGCCCGCCAGUAUUCUGGCGGGCAUGCCUGUUCGAGCGUCAUUACAACCCUCAGGCCCCCGGGCCUGGCGUUGGGGAUCGGCGGAGCCCCCCGCGGGCACACGCCGUCCCCCAAAUACAGUGGCGGUCCCGCCGCAGCUUCCAUUGCGUAGUAGCUAACACCUCGCAACUGGAGAGCGGCGCGGCCACGCCGUAAAACCCCCAACUUCUGAACGUUGACCUCGAAUCAGGUAGGAAUACCCGCUGAACUUAAGCAUAUCAAUAAGCGGAGGAAAAGAAACCAACAGGGAUUGCCCUAGUAACGGCGAGUGAAGCGGCAACAGCUCAAAUUUGAAAUCUGGCUCUCGGGCCCGAGUUGUAAUUUGUAGAGGAUGCUUUUGGUGAGGUGCCUUCCGAGUUCCCUGGAACGGGACGCCACAGAGGGUGAGAGCCCCGUCUGGUUGGACACCGAUCCUCUGUAAAGCUCCUUCGACGAGUCGAGUAGUUUGGGAAUGCUGCUCUAAAUGGGAGGUAUAUGUCUUCUAAAGCUAAAUACCGGCCAGAGACCGAUAGCGCACAAGUAGAGUGAUCGAAAGAUGAAAAGAACUUUGAAAAGAGAGUUAAAAAGUACGUGAAAUUGUUGAAAGGGAAGCGCUUGUGACCAGACUUGGGCUUGGUUGAUCAUCCAGGGUUCUCCCUGGUGCACUCUUCCGGCCCAGGCCAGCAUCAGUUCGCCCCGGGGGAAAAAGGCUUCGGGAAUGUGGCUCUCUCC